UAAUACGUAGGUGGCGAGCGUUGUCCGGAAUUAUUGGGCGUAAAGAGCAUGUAGGCGGCUUUUUAAGUCGGUCGUGAAAAUGCGGGGCUUAACCCCGUAUUGCGGUCGAAACUGGAGGGCUUGAGUGCAGGAGAGGAAAGGGGAAUUCCCAGUGUAGCGGUGAAAUGCGUAGAUAUUGGGAGGAACACCAGUGGCGAAGGCGCCUUUCUGGACUGUGUCUGACGCUGAGAUGCGAAAGCCAGGGUAGCAAACGGG
Molecule: ribosomal RNA, 255 nt
Filed under: uncultured bacterium
Lineage: Bacteria
Description: partial 16S ribosomal RNA
Rfam family: Bacterial small subunit ribosomal RNA
Source: RNAcentral